RNAcentral lists this small RNA (28 nucleotides) under Bombyx mori (domestic silkworm). RNAcentral describes it as "piRNA piR-bmo-1293110". Lineage: Eukaryota; Metazoa; Arthropoda; Insecta; Lepidoptera; Bombycidae. The record is from RNAcentral.
UAAGACUUUGUAGGGGCCAAUGUAUGGU